CUCGGGAGCUUACCAUGCAGUCGACGGUCUCUUCGGAGAUAGUGGCGGACGGGUGAGUAACGCGUGAGAAUCUAGCUUCAGGUCGGGGACAACCACUGGAAACGGUGGCUAAUACCGGAUGUGCCGAAAGGUGAAAGAUUUAUUGCCUGAAGAUGAGCUCGCGUCUGAUUAGCUAGUUGGUGUGGUAAGAGCGCACCAAGGCGACGAUCAGUAGCUGGUCUGAGAGGAUGAUCAGCCACACUGGGACUGAGACACGGCCCAGACUCCUACGGGAGGCAGCAGUGGGGAAUUUUCCGCAAUGGGCGAAAGCCUGACGGAGCAAUACCGCGUGAGGGAGGAAGGCUCUUGGGUUGUAAACCUCUUUUCUCAGGGAAUAAAAAAAUGAAGGUACCUGAGGAAUAAGCAUCGGCUAACUCCGUGCCAGCAGCCGCGGUAAUACGGAGGAUGCAAGCGUUAUCCGGAAUGAUUGGGCGUAAAGCGUCCGCAGGUGGCACUGUAAGUCUGCUGUUAAAGAGCAAGGCUCAACCUUGUAAAGGCAGUGGAAACUACAGAGCUAGAGUACGUUCGGGGCAGAGGGAAUUCCUGGUGUAGCGGUGAAAUGCGUAGAAAUA
Molecule: ribosomal RNA, 611 nt
Filed under: Trichormus sp. MACC 269
Lineage: Bacteria; Bacillati; Cyanobacteriota; Cyanophyceae; Nostocales; Nostocaceae
Description: bacterial SSU rRNA
Rfam family: Bacterial small subunit ribosomal RNA
Source: RNAcentral